CGAGUUGUUUCUGCCUCCUAUUUUCUCUCCGAGCCUUAAGAUCCCCAUAUAUAUGCUACCCGUAAUGCAUCCUUGGAAGGCCAAUAGAACAAAAUAAGGAGGAGCCUCACUAAAUAAGGAGGCCCAAGCACUACAAGAUUGUUGUUGCAUUCCUUGAGUUCGAUCGACUCUCAUUUUCAAUAACUCUACGUUCUCCUGUUCCUGCCAUGGAGGCAUGGAGGAAGAAUGCCCUGUGCUCUGCACUCUUUGUGCUGCUCAUCGUGGCUUCAAGCGAGGUGCGGUCGGUUCGGGGCAUAGAGGCGGACGGCUGCUGGAAUAGGGGGCCCAGCUUCGCCUUCUGCGCGAACACCGCCAGGUGCAGGGAGGCCUGCCAAGCGGGCGGGCAGCUUGACGGGCGCUGCAACGCGGAGUUCCCCAUCGUUUGGCCGCGCUGCGAGUGCCUGGCUCCACACUGCACGUAGCGCUCGCCGACGCUUCUAGCUAAGUUUACUGCUAGCUCCGGCGGUGCCUGUGGCGAGUAAAUGGCCGGCUCGUUGCCGUUGCGCCCAUCUUUUCCUGUCCAUCAGCUACGGCUGCUAUUCGGAUGUUGUUGGUUUCAUUCGGAGUUAAUGCAUUUCUGGUGCCCAAAUGCUACGGGAAAA
This is a long non-coding RNA of Brachypodium distachyon (stiff brome), 641 nucleotides long. RefSeq lists it as uncharacterized. Lineage: Eukaryota; Viridiplantae; Streptophyta; Magnoliopsida; Poales; Poaceae. The transcript has 2 exons. The record is from RefSeq and is a predicted model, not a curated record.